RNAcentral lists this ribosomal RNA (466 nucleotides) under uncultured bacterium. RNAcentral's name for it is "partial 16S ribosomal RNA". It matches the Rfam family "Bacterial small subunit ribosomal RNA", at positions 29 to 532 of the family's 1533-position model. The record is from RNAcentral.
AGCGAACGCUGGCGGCAUGCCUAACACAUGCAAGUCGAGCGCUCCCAGCAAUGGGGGAGCGGCGGACGGGUGAGUAACGCGUAGGAACGUAUCCUGAGGUGGGGGAUAACCCUGGGAAACUAGGGCUAAUACCGCAUGAUGGCGAGAGCCCAAAGAUUUAUCGCCUUGGGAGCGGCCUGCGUCUGAUUAGCUUGUUGGUGGGGUAAUGGCUCACCAAGGCGACGAUCAGUAUCUGGUUUGAGAGGACGAUCAGACACACUGGAACUGAGACACGGUCCAGACUCCUACGGGAGGCAGCAGUGGGGAAUUUUCCGCAAUGGGCGAAAGCCUGACGGAGCAAUACCGCGUGAGGGAUGACGGCCUAUGGGUUGUAAACCUCUUUUUUCUAGGGAGGAAUAAAUGACGUGUACCUGAAGAAUAAGCAUCGGCUAACUCCGUGCCAGCAGCCGCGGUAAGGCACGACUGU